AUGGGUGGAGGACUGGGCAGCUGCGGGUGGCGUUGUGAAGCCAGGGGCCUUCUGGUGGGUAAGGAUGUUGUGGAGCAAGCAGGGACACCUGGGAACCAGGAGUUCACAGGAAGGAGAGAGGAAAAAGGAAGUCUCUGGGAGGUAAACGCUGUAACACACGCCUGCACACAUACCCACGCCUGCACACGCAUCCACUCCUGCACACACAUCACACGCAUCCACUCCUGCACACACAUCCACUCCACACACAUCCACUCCUGCACACGCAUCCACUCCUGCACACACAUCACACGCAUCCACUCCUGCACACGCAUCCACUCCUGCACACACAUCCACUCCUACAUACACAUCCACUCCUGCACACACCACACGCAUCCACUCCUGCACACGCAUCCACUCCAACACAUGCAUCCACUCCUGCACACGCAUCCACUCCUGCACACACAUCACAUGCAUCCACUCCUACACACGCAUCCACCCCCGAUCUCUUCCCUGAAAAUAAAGCUGGGGACCCCUAGGCGGGUUUGCAGUGCGGCCCGGCCCUUAGGACAGGCUCCUUGGUGGGGUGAGGGGGGCAGCUGUCCUCCUGGGUCGGCCCCUUGGGACUGAACCGGCUGCUCUAGGGGCCUCCCAGGCUCCGAGCGGCAGCACCACGUCUAGAGGAGGUGGCUGGGGGUGUGUGAGGGCCGACAGCAGCCUGCACAGUAGCUGCCCCUCAACAAGCCACUUAUUCUUGCAAAGGGGGUGUCAGGGUGGGUGGGUGUGGUCAGCAAAGGGCAUGGGGGUUUCACCGGCUCCCUGCCCCCACUGGUGGGGCACAGGGAGGGGGGCUGUGGUCAGACCUGGUCUCUGGAGGGCCGGCCUGGGGAUUCUGUCCACCAGAUGGGAGGUUUGAUGCCACUUUAAGAUGACAAGUGAGGCCACCUGGGCACAGUGCUGUUGUGAAAAGGUGCCCACCAGGGUGGGUCAAGAGCCCAGGCCCACCCUGCUCCAAAAUUCUUCAGACCUGGCGAAAAGGCACCCCAGGAGGGCGUGGUGUUCCAGGCCCACCUCACAGGCUCCAGGGCGGCCAAGGAUGGAGGACAAUUCCAGGGAUGAGCAAGACAUAGCCAAGAGCAUCUUCCUGGGAGAGGCCGAGCUGGCCACUUGCACAGCCCGGGGGCUUCCCGACCCUGGACCUGGUACCUUCACUCUUGCUGCUACCCCUGGAUUCAUACCUGCACCCCAGCCUUAGCCACACCCAGGCCUCCAGCUAAAGUGAUGCUAUGGGUGCCAAGCGUCUGAGGUCCACACAAGCCCCCUCAGACUCAGGAUGGGAAUUCCUGGGGGCCAGAGCUACCAAGGGUGCUGUCUGGGGGUGCCGGGCAAAGCAGGAGGGCAGAGGAGGCCUGAGCAGUUCCUCCAGUGCUCCUGACAGGCGGCAGCCCAACCAUCCUCCCACAGCCACUUGGCUUGCCACACCUGCAGGCCUGGCUCCCCCGCCCAUGAGGUCCUGACCAAAUGCAGGAGAAGCAAUUUCAGCACCGGCGGAAGGGGGUGGCAGAGCUGGGGAGGGCUAGUAGAGCCAUCUGUCAGCACCGCCUCGGAGCGCCCAGAGUGGUCCCCGCUCGGGGAUUCACCCGGAGCAUUUUCAGCCUCUCCAGGCCCACCCUCGCCCAGAGGCCACAAAAACCCUGCUGUACUGGGGCCGGCAUCGGGGCCCCCACCCACGUGGAAUUACAUGGCUUUGCAUAAUUACAAAUUCGAGGUUGUCAAAGCCUCCCCCUGGAGGCCAUGCAUGGCUGUGAGAGAGGACCCAGACUACCCUGUGGCCCCAGGAAGGCUCUGCAACAAAAUACCCCUUAGGGUAAAACCCAGGACCUUCUCAAAACUUAAGCUGUCAUUGGACAUUUCAAAUGGUGCUUCCUAAGAGCACUUCAAUAAUGGUGUUCCAACGAUCACGCCCCCAAGGCCACUCCACACUUGCACACCCCCAGUUUAGGGAGCUCACCCCUCCUCUCCGGGUGCGUCUCCUCGCAUCCCACACUCAGCCCUGCUCGUGACUUUCUGCUCCCAGCGCCGUCCUCAGUGGCCACACCAGGAAUGAGGCCGUGUCCUCCUGGCUCAGGUGUCAGCAAAUGCCCUGGCGUCUUGGGCCGGGCUGGGGGCAGCAGGGUGAGGUGGGGUGAGGAGGCCGACCUCACUGCCCCUCCCUUUCCUGCCUGCCCUUC
RNAcentral lists this long non-coding RNA (2210 nucleotides) under Aotus nancymaae (Ma's night monkey). RNAcentral's name for it is "lncRNA (ENSANAG00000039078.1)". Lineage: Eukaryota; Metazoa; Chordata; Mammalia; Primates; Aotidae. The record is from RNAcentral.